AAAAUGUCCCGAAUAGGUGCUGCAUCGCCCCCACCGCUUCGCCUCAAUUGGCACCAGCGCAGGCCACCCCGCCGCUCGACCUCGACUCGCACCAGAGGCGACCACCACCAUCCUCGCUGCUCCCUACCCUCCCCCAGCCCGAUAUGGAUGCCUAACCCGCGGGAACGGGCAGGCGGACGGCGGGCGAUGUGAGGCGCGGUGGCGGCACGAGGAAGAUGGGCAGAUCCGGGCACGGCGUUGACCGAUCUGGCGGCUGGUGCGCGGCUUGUUCCGGUCCCAACGACAUCCUGCUCAUCCAUAGAAGGAGAGAGAAGGGCCCGAGGGAGAGAGGAAACAGAUGAAGAAAGGAGAAGGGGCAUACGCAGGGUGAGGGAGGAAGUCGCCGGCGGUGGCGGCUCCGGUGACUGGCCGACGGGCUUGCUAGGCAAGGCUAAGGAGUACGCUAGCCUGAGAUUCGAUAGAGCAUGAAUUGAAUGAAUUUUGCACCACGGGGAAGAAGUUGUGGUGGCGGCGAAUUAUGUAGCCAUUGUCUCUCACGACUGCCGGCCCCUGCUCGCGACAUCUCUACUGAAGCCGCCUCUGCCUACUCUGGUGUGUUGCAGCUCCUUACUCUAGCCACAUGUCGCUUGCUCUCCCGCUAGCCUCUGCCUGCUCUGGUCUCGAAGUUGAUGACACCCUGAUGCAAAGCUUCCACAAUCAUCCGCUCCGUCUCAGCAAAAAACAUGUCCAGCUGCAGAAAAGGAGUUUGUAUCCAGCUUGACCUCCAUAGCAGGAAGAUUUUUGUAAUCGUUCUAUCAAUGUUCUAUUAAUGGACAGAGGAGGAGAGCAAUGGAAAUAACACCCCGUCGCGGUCCUGGUGCUUCUCUCCGUGGGUUCGCUUGCUCACCUCGGCGUUUGCGGCUUCUACAGGUACGUACUAGACAACUACCCAUUGUUUUUGUUUUCUAUUGACAGUUUGAUCGCUUCAUCAAUCCUUCUAGAGGGUCUUGACAGGAAGGACUGAGCAGCCAUUGUGCUGGAGUAGACUGUGUGACAGGUUUUUUCCUCUCUCUCCUACCCGUGAUUGGUUUCUUUGGUGAAGAAAGCAUCACUGUCUUUCAAUACAUCAUGGAUGCUCAACCUGUAUGUCUACAUGGUACAAGAAUGAAGAUUAACCAUUCAAUCUAUUGAUUCAGAGUGAGACAAGGGUGAAACAGAAUAAGCUCAUUUUUGUGAUGAGUUCCCUAGGCCCCAGAAGGCCAGAACUAGCAUUUUAAUUACAAAAUUCAGUUUUUGAUCACGUUAUUUCAGUUUCAUUAUAGACCUUAUAAUAUUUUUUAUGGAUUAAUAUAAGGUUUAUAAUAUUUUGUGGAGCAAUCAGUUGUGCAUAGAAAAGAGCUCACCUAAAUUAAUGACAUGUUCAUCUUAUCUUCGAUUAAAAAUUUUUGCCCCCUAAUAUUCAGUUCUACUGAGAGUUGUAGAAGGCAAAAAUCCAGCAAAUUAACUCAAGUAAGUGUUUUUGUUAUUUCCCAAUGUAAUUAAAAAUUUUCUUCUCAAAAUACGACAUGGUCAUUGUCGGAAAAGAAUAUUUAGCAUGAAUGUAGGUGCUUUCAUAUGAAGCUGGACAUGUUUACAAUGAUCGACCGGAUACCGUUACACGUGUCCUGAAUAUGAAGUUUAAUGAUUUCUGAGAAGAUGUUAAAAGUGGACAUUUGUUUCGUACAAUUCAAGCAUUUUAUACAUGAUGGAGUUCCAGAAUAGAGGCUUGCCUCAUACUCAUACUUCAAUUCGGCUUAUAUGGAACAAUCAUGAGCCUUCGGCCUCCUUCAUAGAUGGUUUGAUUUCGGCUGAGAUACCUGAUCGUUUGGUUGAGCCCUGGGUUAUGCUCUUAUGGAUUAAUUUAUGGUUCACGGUCCAUGUGGAGACUACAAAGUAAAGUGUGCAUGUAUGAAAGAUGGAUUGUGUUCCAAAAGAUUUCCCAAAGAUUUUAAUGAGCAGACGUCGGUUGAUGAUAGAGGCUUUCCUAUAUAUCAUAGACGUGAUUUGGGUUACUAUGUGAGGAACAAGGGUACUGCUAAGCUGGAUAAUCGAUGGGUAGUUUUCAUAUAAUAGUUUUGGUAAUGUAAUUAUUAAUGUAUUUUUCUUCUUGCGAAGCGUACUGGCAUAUGUUUGCUUUCAAUA
Molecule: long non-coding RNA, 2160 nt
Organism: Triticum dicoccoides
Lineage: Eukaryota; Viridiplantae; Streptophyta; Magnoliopsida; Poales; Poaceae
Exons: 4
Source: RefSeq, a predicted model, not a curated record